AAGCCUACAUGGCAAGGAACCGAGGGAGGCCUCUGGCCAGCAGCUUUUGAGGAACUGAGGCCUCAGUCCAACAGGCUGUGAGGAACUGAAUCCUGCCAACAAUCAUAUUAGCCCUGAGCUAACUACUGCCAAUCCUCCUCUUUUUGCUGAGGAAGACUGGCCCUGAGCCAACAUCCAUGCCCGUCUUCCUCUACUUUAUAUGUGGGACGCCUACCACACCACGGCUUGCCAAGCAGUGCCAUGUCCGCACCUGGGAUCUGAACCGGGGAACCCCAGGCCGCCGAGAAACAGAACGUGCGAAUUUAACCGCUGCGCCACUGGGCCGGCCCACUUAGUCCCAUUUUAUAGCUGAAAAGCACGCUGCUGUGGAGCAGGGGAGGUACCAGGCCGUCCUGCCCCUGAAGAGACAAUGCUGAGAUGGUGUCCCGGGACGCUUCACUGCAGCGAUUGCACUUCCCAAGCUUCCCCUGGUUUCUGGGACUUGGCCUCUGCUACAACAUUUGGCAGUCUGCUCUCGGCUUUCUCUCUGCCAGGGGGCUGAUCGUGUCCACAGUCCCUGGAAAGCUGUAGAGCUGUCUAGGACUCCAGACGUCUGGGAGGAGUUAAAGGAAGAUUAGCCCUGAGCUAACAUCUGCUGCCAAUCCUCCUCAUUUUGCUGAGGAAGACUGGCCCUGAGCUCACAUCCGUGCCCAUCUUCCUCUACUUUAUAUGUGGGAUGCCUACCACAGCAUGGCUUGCCAAGCAGUGCCAUGUCUGCACCUGGGAUCUGAACCAGUGAACCCUGGGCCACCGAGAAGCGGAACGUGCACACUUAACUGCUAUGCCACCAGGCCAGCCCCUCCAGAAUCUUUUUAUCUUGCAGAACUGAAACUCUAUACCACUUACGCCAUUCCCUUUUGCCCCCUCCCUU
Molecule: long non-coding RNA, 910 nt
Filed under: Equus asinus (donkey)
Lineage: Eukaryota; Metazoa; Chordata; Mammalia; Perissodactyla; Equidae
Description: lncRNA (ENSEASG00005031364.1)
Source: RNAcentral